Molecule: transfer RNA, 73 nt
Filed under: Melitaea cinxia (Glanville fritillary)
Lineage: Eukaryota; Metazoa; Arthropoda; Insecta; Lepidoptera; Nymphalidae
Description: misc RNA ENSMCXG00005023278.1
Rfam family: tRNA
About the family: Transfer RNA (tRNA) molecules are approximately 80 nucleotides in length.
Source: RNAcentral
GUCCCUGUGGUGCAGAGGAUAGCGCGUUGGACUUCUAAUCCAAAGGUCGUGGGUUCGAUCCCCACCAGGGAUG